This 311-nucleotide long non-coding RNA is filed under the name Elaeis guineensis (African oil palm). RNAcentral describes it as "long non-coding RNA (EGUI_LNC028545)". Lineage: Eukaryota; Viridiplantae; Streptophyta; Magnoliopsida; Arecales; Arecaceae. The record is from RNAcentral.
AUGGACUGUGCUAGGAGAGAAAGUCUAAUGGUGUCCAAUUGUUCCAAAGCUCUUGUCAUGGACUGCAUCAUGGCACCAAUCUGAGUAGAGACAGUCUCACUGGAGCCCCUGAUCUAUCUCCUCAAAAAGUCAAAUCCAUCCUCCAAAACUUCUCGAAGUCUAGCCAUCUCUGCAGACAGGUUGGAGACCUUUGUGAUGUCCUCAUGCGGCUAGAGAUGGACUAAGGCUAAUACCUGCCUUUGCAAGUCUAAAACUCUGCUUGUCAGUCUCAAAAUGCAUCCCUCAACCUCCUCAAGUCGUAUGGACUGAGU